This is a long non-coding RNA of Micropterus salmoides (largemouth bass), 385 nucleotides long. RefSeq lists it as uncharacterized. The record is from RefSeq and is a predicted model, not a curated record. The transcript has 4 exons. NCBI's taxonomy places the organism in Eukaryota, Metazoa, Chordata, Actinopteri, Centrarchiformes, Centrarchidae.
AACACCUGUCAUCAUUAGCUUCUGCUCAAAAAGAACAAAACACACACACACACAAAGCAGAUGAACAAUGGCUUAAUUUAUGACAUAUCACUGUUCAUGGACAACAAAUCAAACUUCUGCACAGAGAAAACAAAACAGAAACUGAAUGGGAUCGGUAAUGAAGAAUGGGUGCAAGUCCAAAAAGUCUUUCCCUAGUGCACACCACCAAGAAAGCAUGGCUGUGAUGUGGAGUGCUCUUGUGGACACAAACCGAGGAUGCACUUAAAUGAACUGCACUGAAGCCAAGAACAGCUGAGAGCGGCUCAGCCUCACCAAUCAGAACCACCAGACGGGGCCUCUCAUGGGGCCUCUGUUGGUAGCGGGUCACCUCUUCAUAAGUCAGGAA